This 404-nucleotide ribosomal RNA is filed under the name uncultured Cenococcum. Its description in RNAcentral is "eukaryotic LSU rRNA". The stretch from base 47 to 200 matches the Rfam family "5.8S ribosomal RNA". Lineage: Eukaryota; Fungi; Ascomycota; Dothideomycetes; Gloniales; Gloniaceae. The record is from RNAcentral.
AACUCCUGUUUUAACGGUGUUGUCUGAGCUGCAAGCAACGAAUCAAAACUUUCAACAACGGAUCUCUUGGUUCUGGCAUCGAUGAAGAACGCAGCGAAAUGCGAUAAGUAGUGUGAAUUGCAGAAUUCAGUGAAUCAUCGAAUCUUUGAACGCACAUUGCGCCCCUUGGUAUCCCGAGGGGCAUGCCUGUUCGAGCGUCAUUUCACCACUCAAGCCCGGCUUGGUGUUGGGCGACGUCUCCUUUAGGGACGCGCCUCGAAACGCUCGGCGGCGUGGCACCGGCUUUAAGCGUAGCAGAAUCUUUCGCUUUGAAAGUCGGGGCCUCGUCUGCCGGAAGACCUACUCGUAAGGUUGACCUCGGAUCAGGUAGGGAUACCCGCUGAACUUAAGCAUAUCAAUAAGCG